UGUUAUAUAAAGUCUAGCCUGCCCACUGAUUUGUUUUAAAGGGCCGCGGUAUAUUGACCGUGCGAAGGUAGCAUAAUCAUUAGUCUUUUAAUUGGAGGCUUGUAUGAAUGGUUGGACAAAAAGUAAGCUGUCUCGGUUAUAAUAAUUGAACUUAACUUUUAAGUGAAAAGGCUUAAAUGUUUCAGGGGGACGAUAAGACCCUAUAAAGCUUGACAAUAAUUUCGUUAUAUUAUAAAUUGUUAGUAUAACUUGAUUUUAACGGGAGUUUGUUUCGUUGGGGCGACGGGAAUAUAAUAAAUAACUGUUCUUUUAAAUAUAAUUACAAAAAUACUUGGUAAAUAAUUGAUCCUCUAUUAGAGAUUAAAAGAUUAAGUUACUUUAGGGAUAACAGCGUAAUCUUCUUUGAGAGUCCACAUCGACAAGAAGGUUUGCGACCUCGAUGUUGAAUUAAGGUAUCCUUAUAAUGCAGCAGUUAUAAAGGAGGGUCUGUUCGACCUUUAAAUCCUUACAUGAU
This 514-nucleotide ribosomal RNA is filed under the name Penaeus japonicus. RNAcentral's name for it is "partial 16S ribosomal RNA". It matches the Rfam family "Bacterial large subunit ribosomal RNA", at positions 1839 to 2604 of the family's 2925-position model. The record is from RNAcentral. Lineage: Eukaryota; Metazoa; Arthropoda; Malacostraca; Decapoda; Penaeidae.